GGUCUAUUAGUCUAGUUGGUUAGGACGUCGGACUCUGAUUCCGUAAGCCCAGGUUCGAAUCCUGGAUGGAUCU
This 73-nucleotide transfer RNA is filed under the name Colletotrichum orbiculare MAFF 240422. Its description in RNAcentral is "tRNA-Gln (CTG) (tRNA-Gln-CTG-4-1)". It matches the Rfam family "tRNA". From Rfam's summary of the family: Transfer RNA (tRNA) molecules are approximately 80 nucleotides in length. The record is from RNAcentral. Lineage: Eukaryota; Fungi; Ascomycota; Sordariomycetes; Glomerellales; Glomerellaceae.